UCACAGCAGAUUCUUCACGCCCAGCA
Molecule: non-coding RNA, 26 nt
Filed under: Homo sapiens (human)
Lineage: Eukaryota; Metazoa; Chordata; Mammalia; Primates; Hominidae
Source: RNAcentral